This 253-nucleotide ribosomal RNA is filed under the name uncultured bacterium. RNAcentral describes it as "partial 16S ribosomal RNA". It matches the Rfam family "Bacterial small subunit ribosomal RNA", at positions 524 to 776 of the family's 1533-position model. The record is from RNAcentral.
UACGGGGGGGGUAAGCGUUGUUCGGAAUUACUGGGCGUAAAGGGCUCGUAGGCGGCCAACUAAGUCAGACGUGAAAUCCCUCGGCUUAACCGGGGAACUGCGUCUGAUACUGGAUGGCUUGAGUGUGGGAGAGGAAUGCGGAAUUCCAGGUGUAGCGGUGAAAUGCGUAGAUAUCUGGAGGAACACCGGUGGCGAAGGCGGCAUCCUGGACCAACACUGACACUGAGGAGCGAAAGCCAGGGGAGCAAACGGG